RNAcentral lists this ribosomal RNA (210 nucleotides) under uncultured bacterium. Its description in RNAcentral is "partial 16S ribosomal RNA". It matches the Rfam family "Bacterial small subunit ribosomal RNA", at positions 1288 to 1500 of the family's 1533-position model. The record is from RNAcentral.
CGUUCAGAUCGCAGCUGCAACUCGACUGCGUGAAGUCGGAAUCGCUAGUAAUCGCGGAUCAGCAUGUCGCGGUGAAUACGUUCCCGGGUCUUGUACACACCGCCCGUCACACCAUGGGAGUCGGAAAUGCCCGAAGUCAGUGACCCAACCGUAAGGAGGGAGCUGCCGAAGGUGGAGCCGGUAACUGGGGUGAAGUCGUAACAAGGUAAC